Molecule: transfer RNA, 69 nt
Filed under: Phrynocephalus vlangalii pylzowi
Lineage: Eukaryota; Metazoa; Chordata; Lepidosauria; Squamata; Agamidae
Description: tRNA-Asp
Source: RNAcentral
AGAACUUUAGUAUACCACACAUUACAUGAUUCUGUCAGAAUCAAAACAUAGAACCCCCUAUAAGUUCUA